AGCUUUGCGCAGUGGCAGUAUCGUAGCCAAUGAGGUUUAUCCGAGGCGCGAUUAUUGCUAAUUGAAAACUUUUCAACUGUUUUUAAAGUUUUUAGACUUGUUAGUCUGGGGAUGACACUUAGCUUUUAUUCUUCCCAAACUGGA
Small nuclear RNA from Neomonachus schauinslandi (Hawaiian monk seal), 144 nucleotides. RefSeq annotates it as U4 spliceosomal RNA. The transcript has a single exon. NCBI's taxonomy places the organism in Eukaryota, Metazoa, Chordata, Mammalia, Carnivora, Phocidae. The record is from RefSeq and is a predicted model, not a curated record.